Molecule: long non-coding RNA, 1598 nt
Filed under: Androctonus crassicauda
Lineage: Eukaryota; Metazoa; Arthropoda; Arachnida; Scorpiones; Buthidae
Source: RNAcentral
CGGGCAUUUUCCAUCGUAUUAUAUACAAAGACAUAAAUUCGAAGGAAAGUUAUAAAUAUUACCGAUGCUAAACUUAUCUCAUCAGUUUACUUUCGAAAGUAAGACACGUGACGUUUUCGACGUCAUUUCCGCGAAUCUUAUAGCCCCACCAAGUCGGGACGUAGAGGGGUGAAAGGUCGUGUGCUUAUCCAAACCAAUCUAGAUGGCAGAUAGCAGAACCUGAUGGGUUUUUCUUUUUAUGCUGGUCUGCACCUUGCCCUGUGGUAAUGCGAGAAUAUGAAAACCUCUUUUGACAAUUUCCAGAACCGUAGGCCGUAUCGUUUGCACGCGACAUAAGUUUAAAAAUAUUAUAGACUCUCUCUAAGUAUUAAUUAUGGUAUUGUGGGGACAUGAACUAUUUAAUAAUAAUAAUAAUUAAAAAUAUAAUAAAAUUUAAACUGGUUUCAUUCCAAUUAAAAGUUUCGUAUGACCUGUAAUUUUUCUUCCAUAAACUAAUUUGGAUUUAAUAUCAAUUCUACUUUACAGGAUUUUGAGUAGGAAAUUUCAAUAACCAGUCUCUAGAGAGAGAGAAAUCAACUGGAAGCAAAAUAUCCCAUUUUUAUAAUGUUAUAAAAGAGUGGAAAAAUAAGAAAAUAAUUCCAUUUACAUCGAUAGGUUUCCUUAUCAUCAAUAAACAUAUUAUAGUUCUUCUUCCGUUCGAUAAGCUAUAAAUCGAAUUAUUUUUCGAGUAAUCUUCUUUUACUGGAAUUCUUGACCAUUCUUGAAACCUAGGCUAUAAGCUUUCCAAGAAAAAUUUCCCCUAAUGUUCUAAAAACUCCCCUUUCUAAAGUCUUAGAGAGCCUCACAAGAGCAAUUCCAGUUAGUUGAAACCCCUUUUCGGGAAUAUCACAAAGGUACUUAAGUUCCAGUUAGUGGAAACCCCUUUUUGAAGGACACCCGGCCAGGAUAUUUGAGUUGCAGUAGUAUCAGGAAAACUUGUAAUUUUAAUAUAUUAAAAUAGUUUUUAAGCCGUAAAUGAAUGAUAAAUGUCUUCCGCACGAUCAGCAUCAGUUAUCGAUAAUUUAAAGUCGCAGUUUAUUUAGAAUAUUAGCUUAGGAACUGGGAUUAGAACAUAAUAGGAAAUUGUCGCCAUGUGAUUUGCUGACUUACAGCUCUGUUUUAUUCAAGUUAAAGGGUAAUGUCCUUUGCACCUACUCAUUCCUGAGUUUAGCUUCCAACUUAAACAAUGUCGAAUUCACUCGAAGGUUUGGCAACGCGCUGCAAACGAGAGAGACUUCCAGUUUCAAUUUUGCCGAGAAAAUUCCUUCCUAUUUUUUUUUAUCUAUGAUAACUUAUCGAAUUUAUUCUUUCAGAAACGGUAUUCGAAAUAUGAAAAACGAAAGUAUAAAUAAUCCGGAAAAAAAGUGCCCAUAUCGAGAAUUGAUAAAUGGAAAGUUAGUUAGACUAAUUCUCAAAACUGAACAGGAAAGUGCGAUAAAAAUCCAGGAAACUUUUCUUGUACAAGGUGUGUUUAAGCGGAAUAUUUCAUAUCUCUCAUAAAAUUAAGAAAGUAAAAAAAAAAAAAAGAAAAAAUUAACUGCAUGGAAAAUUAAUUACCC